Molecule: ribosomal RNA, 428 nt
Filed under: uncultured bacterium
Lineage: Bacteria
Description: partial 16S ribosomal RNA
Rfam family: Bacterial small subunit ribosomal RNA
Source: RNAcentral
GUGGGGAAUAUUGGGCAAUGGGGGCAACCCUGACCCAGCAACGCCGCGUGAGGGAAGAAGGUUUUCGGAUUGUAAACCUCUGUCCUAUGGGAAGAAGGAAGUGACGGUACCAUAGGAGGAAGCCCCGGCUAACUACGUGCCAGCAGCCGCGGUAAUACGUAGGGGGCGAGCGUUGUCCGGAGUUACUGGGCGUAAAGGGUGCGCAGGUGGCCUGACAAGUCAGAUGUGAAAUACCGAUGCUUAACGUCGGGGCUGCAUUUGAAACUAGGAGGCUGGAGUGCAGGAGAGGGAAGCGGAAUUCCUAGUGUAGCGGUGAAAUGCAUAGAUAGUAGGAGGAACACCAGUGGCGAAGGCGGCUUUCUGGACUGUAACUGACACUGGGGCACGAAAGCGUGGGGAGCAAACAGGAUUAGAAACCCGGGUAGUCC